CAGUCGCCACGGGAAUACGGAGGGUGCAAGCGUUAUCCGGAUUUAUUGGGUUUAAAGGGUCCGUAGGCGGAUCUGUAAGUCAGUGGUGAAAUCUCACAGCUUAACUGUGAAACUGCCAUUGAUACUGCAGGUCUUGAGUAAAUUUGAAGUGGCUGGAAUAAGUAGUGUAGCGGUGAAAUGCAUAGAUAUUACUUAGAACACCAAUUGCGAAGGCAGGUCACUAAGAUUUAACUGACGCUGAUGGACGAAAGCGUGGGGAGCGAACAGGAUUAGAUACCCCGGUAGUCCCUGUCUCUUAUAA
Molecule: ribosomal RNA, 301 nt
Filed under: uncultured bacterium
Lineage: Bacteria
Description: partial 16S ribosomal RNA
Rfam family: Bacterial small subunit ribosomal RNA
Source: RNAcentral